RNAcentral lists this ribosomal RNA (462 nucleotides) under uncultured bacterium. Its description in RNAcentral is "partial 16S ribosomal RNA". It matches the Rfam family "Bacterial small subunit ribosomal RNA", at positions 29 to 507 of the family's 1533-position model. The record is from RNAcentral.
AGUGAACGCUGGCGGCGUGCCUAAUACAUGCAAGUCGAACGGAGAUUAAGUAGCUUGCUAUUUAAUCUUAGUGGCGCACGGGUGAGUAAUAUAUAGCUAACUUGCCCAUUACUAAGGGACAACAGUUGGAAACGACUGCUAAUACCUUAUACACCGUCUCUAUAUAAGUAGAUACGGGAAAGUUUUUCGGUAAUGGAUAGGGCUAUAUCGUAUCAGCUAGUUGGUAAGGUAAUGGCUUACCAAGGCUAUGACGCGUAACUGGUCUGAGAGGAUGAUCAGUCACACUGUAACUGAGACACGGUCCAGACUCGUACGGGAGGCAGCAGUAGGGAAUAUUGCUCAAUGGGGGAAACCCUGAAGCAGCAACGCCGCGUGGAGGAGGACACUUGUCGGAGAGUAAACUCCUUUUCUUGGGAAAGAAUUAUGACGGUACCCAAGGAAUAAGCACCGGCUAACUCCGUG